UACAGAGGGUGCAAACGUUGCUCGGAAUCAUUGGGCGUAAAGCGCACGUAGGCGGUCCGACAAGUGGGGAGUGAAAGCCCUCGGCUUAACCGAGGAUGUGCUUUCCAAACUGCCGGACUUGAGUACGCAAGAGGAUCGCGGAAUUCCCAGUGUAGAGGUGAAAUUCGUAGAUAUUGGGAAGAACACCGGUGGCGAAGGCGGUUAGCUGGGCAGUUGCUGACACUGAGGCGCGACAGCGUGGGGAGCGAACAGG
This 253-nucleotide ribosomal RNA is filed under the name uncultured bacterium. RNAcentral's name for it is "partial 16S ribosomal RNA". It matches the Rfam family "Bacterial small subunit ribosomal RNA", at positions 524 to 776 of the family's 1533-position model. The record is from RNAcentral.